AGCAUCACAAACGUGUGCCACCAUGCCCAGAUUCUACUCUCACGGUUGUACUUUUGCUUUAAAAUAUUUUCUUGAAGUUGGGAUCCUUCUUCCUCAGCCUCCCGGCCCUGGAAUUAACUUCCAUUAUAGCCAACCCCCAGGACUAGCUUCAGUGAGCCAUGCAAGAUACGGAGACACGGGAAUGACUGUCAUGAGGGAAGAUACUUAUUUCACAGUCCCCGGAAGCAGGUCCCACAGAGUGCCUUCUGGGUUUCUUCCGGCGAAGUCUACCAGGCUGUCAAUUUCAAAAGGCUCCCAAGAACCAGAAAGGAAGAAAGGUCAGGGAUCCACUUCCAGAGGAAAGAACCAACUAAAUGCACUUUUUCCACGCAAGACUGAAAAGGGGAGAAAUUCAGACACAUGCUACAACAUGUAUGAACCUUGAAGGCAUCAUGACUCCAUUGGGAAUCUCCGUGCACCUGUGUUGUGGAAUCUUAGCUGAAGAUGUGUUACAUUCACUUACGCUGUGGGACAUAUUUGUUUAAUGAUGCAAAGAUGUGUUGCAUUCUUUUA
Myodes glareolus (Bank vole) is the source of this 552-nucleotide long non-coding RNA. RefSeq lists it as uncharacterized. The record is from RefSeq and is a predicted model, not a curated record. Lineage: Eukaryota; Metazoa; Chordata; Mammalia; Rodentia; Cricetidae.